UACAUUUAUGUGUGUGUUUGUGUGUGUGUGUAUUGUUUUUAUGUCAAAUUGUAAAAACAAUUAAACAAACAUUAAACUAAAGGAUUACUCAAUCCUUUUUGUAGUGUGCAUAAAAGAUGAGAGGUGGAAGCAACUUUCAUGUUUCAGCCUAUCCUUCAUCAGUCCAACAAAG
Octopus sinensis (East Asian common octopus) is the source of this 172-nucleotide long non-coding RNA. RefSeq lists it as uncharacterized. The transcript has 3 exons. NCBI's taxonomy places the organism in Eukaryota, Metazoa, Mollusca, Cephalopoda, Octopoda, Octopodidae. The record is from RefSeq and is a predicted model, not a curated record.